This 910-nucleotide ribosomal RNA is filed under the name uncultured bacterium. RNAcentral describes it as "bacterial SSU rRNA". It matches the Rfam family "Bacterial small subunit ribosomal RNA", at positions 8 to 909 of the family's 1533-position model. The record is from RNAcentral.
AGAGUUUGAUCCUGGCUCAGGAUGAACGCUAGCUACAGGCUUAACACAUGCAAGUCGAGGGGCAGCGGGAUUGAAGCUUGCUUCAAUUGCCGGCGACCGGCGCACGGGUGAGUAACGCGUAUCCAACCUUCCGUACACUCAGGGAUAGCCUUUCGAAAGAAAGAUUAAUACCUGAUAGUAUCUUAAGCACACAUGUAAUUAAGAUUAAAGAUUUAUCGGUGUACGAUGGGGAUGCGUUCCAUUAGGUAGUAGGCGGGGUAACGGCCCACCUAGCCAACGAUGGAUAGGGGUUCUGAGAGGAAGGUCCCCCACAUUGGAACUGAGACACGGUCCAAACUCCUACGGGAGGCAGCAGUGAGGAAUAUUGGUCAAUGGACGAGAGUCUGAACCAGCCAAGUAGCGUGAAGGAUGAAGGUCCUACGGAUUGUAAACUUCUUUUAUAAGGGAAUAAACCCUCCCACGUGUGGGAGCUUGUAUGUACCUUAUGAAUAAGCAUCGGCUAACUCCGUGCCAGCAGCCGCGGUAAUACGGAGGAUGCGAGCGUUAUCCGGAUUUAUUGGGUUUAAAGGGAGCGCAGACGGGUCGUUAAGUCAGCUGUGAAAGUUUGGGGCUCAACCUUAAAAUUGCAGUUGAUACUGGCGUCCUUGAGUGCGGUUGAGGUGUGCGGAAUUCGUGGUGUAGCGGUGAAAUGCUUAGAUAUCACGAAGAACUCCGAUUGCGAAGGCAGCACACUAAUCCGUAACUGACGUUCAUGCUCGAAAGUGUGGGUAUCAAACAGGAUUAGAUACCCUGGUAGUCCACACGGUAAACGAUGGAUACUCGCUGUUGGCGAUAUACUGUCAGCGGCUUAGCGAAAGCGUUAAGUAUCCCACCUGGGGAGUACGCCGGCAACGGUGAAACUCAACAGGUA